Molecule: ribosomal RNA, 253 nt
Filed under: uncultured bacterium
Lineage: Bacteria
Description: partial 16S ribosomal RNA
Rfam family: Bacterial small subunit ribosomal RNA
Source: RNAcentral
GACAGAGGGUGCAAACGUUGUUCGGAAUUACUGGGCGUAAAGCGCGUGUAGGCUGCUCUGCAAGUCGGAUGUGAAAGCCCUGGGCUCAACCUAGGAAGUGCACUCGAAACUGCGGAGCUUGAGUCUCGGAGAGGAUCGCGGAAUUCUCGGUGUAGAGGUGAAAUUCGUAGAUAUCGAGAGGAACACCGGUGGCGAAGGCUGCGAUCUGGACGAUGACUGACGCUGAGACGCGAAAGCGUGGGGAGCAAACAGG